Long non-coding RNA from Taeniopygia guttata (zebra finch), 5223 nucleotides. Lineage: Eukaryota; Metazoa; Chordata; Aves; Passeriformes; Estrildidae. The record is from Ensembl.
UUUUUUUUUUUUUGCCAGAAAUUAAGGUUGUCUGUCAUGGUGUAUAGAAGGCUUAUAGUUUUACACCACACUGGACACAUAAAUGCUCAGAAUGCCACCACAGCAAACCAAAAUCACAAUCACUUAUAACAAGUCAAUUAAACAGCUGGAAGAACUGACUUACAUUACCUUUAGGAGGUGAUACCUAACUGUAUUUAUAAAAUACCUCAAACAUAUAUGCUAGUUAAAGAAAAUUCCAACCUAUUUAUUGCAAACUGACUAAAUGGUUAUCUAGAACCAGCUAUAUUGAGCUGCUGGUAUUAGUUGCAAAACAGAAUUUAAGACUUCCUUUACUGUUUCUGUCCUAGAUCAAGGCAGACACAAAUUGUCCAUACUGACUUUAAAUUGCCCCCUACUCAUCAUGUUUGGCUGUACUUCCUGGGUAUCUCAUUUUAGCACACAAUUAGCUUAAAUAUUUCACUCAUAGGUCUACACUUGACACCCGAAGUGCUAGGUAUUGAAUUGCUGUGAGAUUACUCCCACUUACCCUACCCAUCAUUGUAAAAGUCUAGCUGUUUAACCAGAAAAUUUUGUGCUGUUCAGUGAUUCCAGCAAAACUGUUGGCAGAAGAAAGACCUCUUUCUCAUAGUCCCCUAGGAUAAUCUGGAACAAGAAAGUUUUGCAUUUUCUGUGUAAUGAGGACCAAAUAUGAACCAUUUAGAAAUGUCUUGCUCAUUGCUGCUUUGGGUUGCACAUAGUUCAUGAAUCUCCUCUCUGACUGAUAUUCAGGAACAGAAAUAUUUUUAAAAAAGAAAAAUCCUAUUGCCACCAAAAACUACUUGAUGAAAUUAUAAUAUAACUUUCUAGGGGUAAAAUUGUUAUCUCCUUUACAAUUUUAUAAAAAUGUAAAUGUUUACAUAAACAAUAUUUGUAGCUACAGCCAAUAAAGACCCAGCCCUGAACUUGGCAAGAUACACAAAGUAUAAUAAGUACUUCUGAAGAUGUGUCAGCCAGAAGCAGAAGAGAAAGAAAAAGUAAAGAAAGAGUAACUCCCACCCCUCAAUGAGCAGUGAUAAAAACAGAUAAGUAGAAGGCUCAACAAAUUGAAAUGCUCAACUAAUUUUUUGCUUCAGUCCUCUCUGGCAAUCUCUCUUCACACACAUUGAGUGGAUGGAGCACAAGGGAGGGAAUGGGGAAGAAAACCCUCUCCUACCAUAAAAGAGUAUCAGGUGCUUGUGACCACCUGAUGAAUCUGAAUGUACAUAGGUAUGAGAUGAGAUGCAUCCCAGAGACCUGAAGAAACUGACCGAUGCAGCAGGUAAACUACUCUUUGUGAUAGUACCACCCUGUCAGUCCCAGCUCUGUGCCUGGGAAGAUCAUGGAACAGAUCUUCGCAGAAGCUUGCAAAGGCACAUGGAGGACAGUGAGGUGAUUUGAGAAAAUCAACCCUGCUUCAACAAGUACAAGCCUUGAUAGAACAAUGUAUUGGUCUCUUGUGGAUGUUCUCAGUUCAGAGAGAGAGCAAAGAGAGAGAAUUCUCCCAGGCCUAGCCUGGGAAAGUUAGGAGAAGAAAAGAAAACAAGUAUUAUCUCUCUUUCUGUUCAUGUUGUUUAUAGAUAUGCUCUACCACAGUGUGCCAUUCAUAGUGCCCCAAUGGUGUGAAAGGUUUUCACUUUGAGACCAAUCAUAUUUCACCUUAACUAUCCUGGUUGUAAAGGGAUUCUACUUCCUGCUAAUAAACAUUAUUCUUUUGCCUUCUGAACUGUGUGAGUCUUUUUGUCCGUCCCUGCCUCAUCAGCGUCAGUCUCUUAUGAUGGAGCAUCUCCAUCAGGGAAAGAGAAGAGCUAUGGAUGUAACGUGUCUGAGUUUCUUUAAGGUCUUUUAUAUGGUGCCCCUAGAACAGCCUUCUGUCUAAAGCAGAAAUAUAUGGUUUGAUGGAUGGACUGUUCACUUCAUAAGGAACUAACUGUGGGAUCUCAUCCAGAGAAUAGUGGACAAUGUCCAAAUGGACAUCCGUGAGAAGUGGUGCCCCUCAGAAGUCCUUACUGGGAUCACUACGGUUUAAUAUCUUUAUCUCUGACAUAGACAAAGGAUUGAAUGCAGCCUCAGCAUGUUCAUUGACAACACCAAGCUGAGUGGUACAGUUGACAAACCCGAGAGAAGAUGCCUUACAGAAGGACCAUGACAGACUUGAAAAACGGGCCCACAAAAACAUCAUGAUACUCAAUAAGUUCAAACACAAGGUUGCAUAUCUGAGUUGGGGCAGCCUCCAGUAUCAAGACAGGCUGGGUUGGAUGAAGGGAGUGAGAGCAGUCCUGAUGAGAAGGACUCACAGAUGCUGGGACAUGAGAGGCUGGAUGCAACCCAGCCAUGGGCACCCACAGCCCAGAAAGCCAAACGUGUCCUGGGCUACAUCCAAAGCAGUGUGAGCAGCAGGGUCCUCUGCCCCUCUGCUCUGGUGAAAUCCCAUGUGCAGCGCUGCAUCAGCUCUGGUGUUCCAGCACAGGAAGGAUGUAGAACUGUUGGAGCAAGUUCCAGAGGAGGCCACCAAGAUGAUCAGAGGGCCGAAGCAUUUUUCUCAUGAAGAUGGGUGGAGAGAGUUAGUGUUGCUCAGCCUGGGGAAGAGAAGGCUCCAGGGAGACCUUACUGGGGCCUUAAAUACUUAAAGGGGGCCUAUAAGAAAAAAGGGCACACACUUUAUAGUAAUGGUUUAAAAGAAGGUAGAUUCAGACUGGAUAUAAGGAAGAAAUUUUUCAUUAUCAGGAUGGUGAGACACUGGAACAGGUUGCACAGAGGAGCUGUAGAUGCCCCAUCUUUGGAAGUGCUCAAGACCAGGCUGGAUGAGGCCCUGAGCAACCUGGUGUAGUGGAAGGUGUUCCUGACCAUUACAAGCUGAGGAGCUGGAUUAAAAUCACCUUUAAAUGUUCCUUCCAACUAAAUAAUUCUAUGGUUUUAUGUAUCUACAAAAACACUAUAGCCCUAUAAGAAGAGGUAGAGUGUAAUUUCAACUGACCUUAUAUUACUUACAUUUGUAACACCUAGUUAUUUUUAGUAUGCAUCAUCUUGAUUUCGAUUAUAGUUUAUUUGCUCAUACUUAAGUGAGCAUAUAUAUGUAUAUAUGUGUGUAUAUAUAUAUAUAUAAAAUAUAAGUAUACCGUAGUGACCAUUUGAUUAUGAAUGACAUUCUUGCUCCUUUUCUUGUAUUUUCUGGAGCUUAUGAUACUGAGAAGAAAAAAAUUCUGUCCUUGGUACACGCAGUUUCAGCUUUUAAAUAUUUUUCUAGCUGGCAUUUAAUUAUUAAUCUGAUCACGAUAUAAGAAAAGAUACACCCUUACAGAAGAAUACAUUUUCAGCAGAUCAAACUUCAUAUAUUAUGCAAAUAAAACCCAGUAAAGUUUGGAAUGCAUAUGUUCCUUAAUUGAUGACUCAUUGCUUCAGCCUUCAUAAGUAAAUAUUUUUGUAAUUAAGAUAUAAUUAUUGGAAAUUGUUUACCUAUUUAUUCCUUUCAUAUUUUUAAGCAAAUAUUGAAAACCUUGAUUGAGAAGUACCAACUUUAUUCUUGGUUUUUAAUGGGGUCAAGCAGAUAGAGGGUUUUGUUACUAAUUUUCAGAGGUCAGCUUAUGUACUAACACAAUUGCAAACCCAGAACCUUUACUCCUAGGUUAACAGAAGCAAUUGUCUUUACUUAGACAGUAAAAUGAGGUUAGCAUUUCAGUUUGGAAGGUAGCAAAGGAUGUUGUUAUACAGUACAGGCUGGAUCUGCUGUGAGUGAAAGGCUAGAUCAGGCUGGAAGAUGGCUCUGCUGAGUGAUCAUUUCAGGGAGAAUUAGCUGGCAUUGUUGAGCUAGUGAAAGACUUAGACUGCUGUAGCCCAUACUAAGAAACUACAGAGACAUGUCAUUGCAUCUAGGUUUAGACCUGAAAUUAGUGUCCUGACUAGUGCUAUUUGUAAUCUUUGCACUUGUAGAUUUUGAUGUAAUAGGAUUAUAGUUAUAUUAAUCUGGGAAUAAUCUUAAGGAAUUAUGAGCUAGUCUUAGCACUGUUUUACUGGGAGCUGUUCUAAGAAUUAAGGUUAAUACUGUUGCUUUUGCUGACAAGACACUGUUGACCUACCUGGAUCCACAAGAAAUUGCUGUGUUUCGUUAAACGUGAUGCCAUCUUACCAAGUUUGGAGAAGAACUGGAACUUGAAAUUACUUCAGUUGAUGAUGUAAGUUUACAGCAUCAUUUAGGUUGGAAAGGACCUCUAAAAUUAUCAAGUCCAACUGUUAACCUAGCCCUGCCAUGUUCACCACUAAACCAUGUCCCUAAUUGUCACAUCCACACAUUUCCUAAUAUCCAAUCUAAAUCUCCCCUGGUACAACCUGAGACUGUUUUCUUAUAUCCUGUCACUUAUUACCUGGGAGAAGAAAGUGCCAACAUCCCCCCUCAGCCUUCUAUUCUUCAUCCUAAACAACCUUGGCUUCUUCAGCAUUUACCCUCCAGAUGCCCCAUCAGCUUUGUAGCUCUUCUCUGGAUACACUUCAGCACUUCAAUAUCUUUGGUGUAGAGAGGGGCCAAAAAACUAGACAGAGGACUUGGGGCGUGGCCUCAACAGUGCUGAUUGCAGAGGGAAGAUGACUACCCUGGUUCUGCUGGCCACAAGCCAUGAUGCCCUGGCCUUCUUGGCCACGUGGGCACAGUGCUGGCUCAUGUGGAGAGGUCAUGGGACAGUUUCAGUCCUGCUGUGAUGACUUGCAUCCUGGUUUAGAGACAAAACAGUGUUUUUCUCCAAAGAGAAGGGCUCCAAAAAUCCCCUUUUGUGGCAACAGCUCUCUGGCCACAGAAAGCAGGCACAGAGUUUCCCAGGUAUUUUCCCAGGCAAGGCUGUGAGAAGAUCAGAGGAAAGAAUGAGAAACAAUUCUUAUUGUUAUUCUUGUUGCACCUGCUUUUGUGUACAUGUGGAAUGUGUCAUGGAGAUUUGUUUACCAAAGGGUGAUUUCUUAAUUGGACACUGGACAGUGUUUGGAUUGAUUGACCAAUUAGGUCAAAGCUAUAUCAGCCUGGGUGUAGAGGCUACUGAGUUUCUUAAGAAGUAUAGAUAUUAUAAUAUAAGAUUAUAAUAAUAAAGCAAUUGAUCAGACUUCUGCAGUCAUGGAGUCAAUGCUAAUUAUUACCUGGCUGGGGGCCUGCAGUGACAUCUUUUUUCUGAUUAGAGUAAUGAAGAACAGUUGGUGAAAGAGAAAAAAAAAAAAAAAAAAAAAAAA